GCGUGCUCACGAUGUCGAUUUCAUUGAGCCUUAGGUUUCUUUAGGAAUUAGGAGGAAGAAGAUGAAGAAGACGGUGAGGGGAUUAAAAAAAAGAGGAAAAUUUUCAACUGCCGAUCGCUAGUUAUAGUUGCAUCUCUAGUACGUAAUAAAAAACCCUAACCCUAAACUAGAAACUUUAAACUUUUGGCUUCAAAUAUCCCAAUCUUUCCCCCUUCUUUUUUUGAAUCGAUCUCCAAGGGUACUAAACCUAGAAAUUGAAUAAUGGCUACCACAACACAAACACGAGACAACGAUGGCCUUAAGAAACUGGAAUACUUAUCACUCGUAUCUAAGGUUUGCACGGAGCUCGAAACUCACUUAGGGUUUGGGGACAAAGUAUUGGCGGAGUUCAUCACCGAAUUAGGCCGAAAUUGUGAGACAGUAGAUGAAUUUGAUUCCAAGUUGAAGGAAAACGGUGCCGAGAUGCCCGAUUACUUUGUCCGCACAUUACUAACUAUCAUUCAUGCCAUCCUUCCGCCCAAGCCCAAGUCUGGUAAGGAAUCCAAGAAUAAAGACCCCACUUCUCUCUCUGACGCUAAAAAUUCCAAAUUCAGAGCUCUGGCUAUUGCAGACAGUAAGGAGAGAGCCAAGAACCUUGAACGCGAACUCGAAAUGGAGGCUAGGGAGAGAAGGAAAGAAGAGGAAAAGGAAGAGGACGAUAGGAACAGAGACAGAGACCGGAGGGGUAAGGAUAGAGACAGGCAUAGGGAUAGAUCUGAUAGAGAUGAGAGGCGUAGAGAUAGAGAUUAUGAUGUUGGUCAUGACAGUAGAGAUGGUGAUUAUAGGAGUAGAGGAAAGCAGAGGGGUAGGCAUGACAGGCAUAGGAGAAAUGGGAGUGAAGAAAAUGAUUAUCAUGACAGGGACGGUGGUGAAAGCGAAAGGGAUCGGAGGAACGGACCCAAUAGUUCCAGUGAGCCUGAAUUGUACAAGGUGUAUAAGGGUAGGGUGUCGAGGGUGAUGGACUCAGGUUGUUUUGUGCAAUUGAAUGACUUUAGGAGCAAGGAGGGUUUGGUUCAUGUUUCACAGAUUGCAAGUAGGAGGGUUGGUAAUGCCAAGGAUGUUGUGAAGCGGUACCAGGAGGUUUAUGUUAAGGUGAUUUCAAUUUCCGGACAGAAGUUGAGUCUUUCCAUGAGGGAUGUUGAUCAGAAUACAGGUAAGGAUCUACUUCGUUUGAAGAGGAGCUCAGAUGAUGAUGAUGGUACUUUUAGGACUAAUCCUUCGGCAUCUAAGGAGGGGCCAGUGACCAGGACAGGGCUUUCUGGGAUUAGGAUCAUGGAGGAGGAUGAUGCGGUUCCAUCGCGUCGGCCAUUGAAGAGAAUGAGCUCACCGGAGAGAUGGGAGGCAAAACAGUUGAUUGCUUCUGGAGUUUUAAGUGUCAAAGAGUAUCCCAUGUAUGAUGAAGAGCGAGAUGGGAUGCUUUAUCAAGAAGAGGGCGCUGAGGAGGAUCUUGAAAUUGAGUUGAAUGAAGAUGAGCCUGCAUUUUUGCAAGGCCAGACUAGGUACUCUGUUGAUAUGUCUCCCGUGAAGAUUUUUAAGAAUCCAGAAGGAUCAUUGAGUCGUGCAGCUGCGCUUCAGUCUGCACUUAUAAAGGAGAGGAGGGAAGUAAGGGAAC
Molecule: unclassified non-coding RNA, 1651 nt
Filed under: Hevea brasiliensis (rubber tree)
Lineage: Eukaryota; Viridiplantae; Streptophyta; Magnoliopsida; Malpighiales; Euphorbiaceae
Source: RNAcentral